Molecule: ribosomal RNA, 1972 nt
Filed under: human gut metagenome
Description: bacterial LSU rRNA
Rfam family: Bacterial large subunit ribosomal RNA
Source: RNAcentral
GAAAGUAGAUAAGGGCGGAUGGUGGAUGCCUUGGCUCACUCAGGCGAUGAAGGACGUGAUAAGCUGCGAUAAGCGGUGGGUAGGUGCAAAUGACCGUUGAUCCUCCGAUUUCCGAAUGGGACAACCCGUCAUGCUGAAGGCAUGACAUCUGCUCAGUGCAGAGGCCAACGCGGGGAACUGAAACAUCUUAGUACCCGCAGGAAGAGAAAAUAAACAAUGAUUCCCCCAGUAGUGGCGAGCGAACGGGGAAGAGCCCAAACCUGCGUUGUGGCAACGCCUCGCAGGGGUUGUAGGACCACGUUGUGGUACGGUAACGGAGAGUGGAAUUGCCUGGAAAGGCAGACCAUAGCGGGUGAAAGUCCCUUACACGAAUCCUGCUCCGGCCUAGUGGUAUCCUGAGUAACGCGGAACACGAGGAAUUCUGCGCGAAUCCGCCGGGACCAUCCGGUAAGGCUAAAUACUCGAGUGAGACCGAUAGCGUACGAGUACUGUGAAGGAAAGGUGAAAAGCACCUCGACAAGAGGAGUGAAAUAGUUCCUGAAACCAUCCGCCUACAAGCGGUCGGAGCAUGCUUCGCAUGUGACGGCGUGCCUUUUGCAUAAUGAACCUACGAGUUACCAUCUCCGGCAAGGGUAAGGGCCAUGAGACCCGCACCCGCAGUGAAAGCGAGCCUGAAGAGGGCGUAUAGUCGGAGGGGGUAGACGCGAAACCAAGUGAUCUACACAUGUCCAGGAUGAAGUCCGGGUAACACCGGAUGGAGGUCCGCACCGAUAAGCGUUGAAAAGCUUCCGGAUGAGGUGUGUGUAGGAGUGAAAGGCCAAUCAAACUUGGAGAUAGCUCGUACUCCCCGAAAGGCAUUUAGGUGCCGCGUGCAGUGUUCAGCGUGAGAGGUAGAGCGACCGAUAGGUCGAGAGGGCUUCACCGCCUAUCGAGACCUGACGAACUCCGAAUGCUCACGUUCUGCAGCUGUGCAGUAAGGGGGCGGGUGCUAAGGUCCGUCCCCGAGAGGAGAAGAAUCCAGACCGCCGUCUAAGGUCCCGGAAUUCUGCCUGAGUUAGUCUAACGAAGUGUGGUCCCAACGACAGCCAGGAUGUUGGCUUGGAAGCAGCCAUUCAUUCAAAGAGUGCGUAACAGCUCACUGGUCGAGGGUCCGCGCAUGGAUAAUAAUCGGGUAUAAGGCAGAUACCGAAGGCGCGGGAUAGCAAUUAUAAAAGUAUCGGUAGGGGAGCAUUCCCUGUGCGUUGAAUGCGGAUGGUGAUGUCCGCUGGAGCGCAGGGAAAAGCAAAUGUAGGUAUAAGUAACGAUAAGGAGGGUGAGAUUCCCUCCCGCCAUAAGUCUAAGGUUUCCCGGGCAAUGCCCGUCAUCCCGGGGUCAGUCGGGUCCUAAGUCUCAGCCGAAGGGCGAGGGCGAUGGCAGAAACGGUUAAUAUUCCGUUACUGCCGUACGGAGCGACGUGGAGACGCAGUAGUGAAACGGCCGCGCACAGACGGAAUUGUGCGCUGAAGGGUGUAGAUUAUGAGGGUUGCAGGCAAAUCCACAAUCCGAGUCGAACCUGAUCAGUAGGGCCUCUUCUCCGGAAGGGGCCGAGCGCCGGUAAGCAUGCUGCCGAGAAAAUCCGCUAAGCUUAAUCCGUACGGCACCCGUACCGCAAACCGACACAGGUAGACGAGUAGAACAUACUAAGGCGUUGGGAGAUUCAUGGUUAAGGAACUAGGCAAACUGACCCCGUAACUUCGGGAUAAGGGGUCCUCACGUUGAGUGAGGCGCAGAGAAUAGGUCCAGGCAACUGUUUAACAAAAACACAGGGCUGUGCGAACUCGAAAGAUGACGUAUACAGCCUGACACCUGCCCGGUGCCGGAAGGUUAAGAGGAGAUGUCACUAGCAAUAGGAAGCAUUGAAUUGAAGCCCCGGUAAACGGCGGCCGUAACUAUAACGGUCCUAAGGUAGCGAAAUUCCUUGUCGGGUAAGUUC